CCGCGGGGGAAUCGCAGUGAGCAGCGCGGGGCGAGGCCGCCGCGGACGCCCCGUCGGAUGUGCCCUUCGCUGGGCCGAGCGGCGCAGGGUUGGAGAGGGAAGCGCUCGUGCCCACCUUGCUCGCAGGUGCCCUUGCUGACCUGGGUGAUGGCCUUCUCCCCGCGGCUCUCGGCCCUCUGGCUGGCGGCGCGCAGCUGGCAGCCGCUCGGGGGCCUGUUCUAAGAACUUAUAAGAGUUAAGAAAAAAAAUUAUCUUCAAACAUCAUUAGCUCUGGAAAGCUCUUCCUGACCCACAAACUAGGUUGGGUUCAUGUGCUACAAGCUCUCAUAGGACCAUGUUCCCUUCAUUAGGGCAUUUAUAUCAGUGUGGAAAUGGAUGUGGACGCGGUGCUGCUGCCUGAGAUUAGCAGGAAGCAAUUCUUUUCCCAUUUGGAGAGACCCCAGUGAGACCUGAUCAACUAGCAACAUGCGGAAGUCACACCAUUAAGUCUUCCAAUUUGCUAGCAGCAAAUCAAUGAACUCUGAUAGCUGCUGCCCUAAGCUAGCAUCCAGGGAACUGUGGACAAGCUAUUUGCUACCUGAAUUUUAGUGAAGGAAAGUUAAAUUUUUUCUUAAAGCAGGGCGGGAGUGGGGUUGUGUGGGGAAGAUUAUAUUAAGCAGUGAGAGAAGACAGAUGGAGUUUUGUAGAAAGAGAGCUGGUUGUUUUAAAUUGUAUCUUAAAUUUAUUGUAGAGCUAUUGGUAAUUAGUGUUUUGUUGUUGUGUGUUUAUACCAACCAAUUAAUAAGAAAGGCUUUUAUUUUUAUUUCAUCAGUUGGAGCUGAACUUUAUUUUUUAUUAUAAAUAUAAGGCAUUAUUCUAGGGCCUGGCAAACAUAGGGCCUGGCAAACAUAGGCAGCCAUUUUUUUUUUCUGGGGAAGAUGAUACCUUGGUAUGUUUUCACCACUGUGAGAUGAAAAUUUGAGAACAGUGAGAGACAGAUGCUUGCCUGAGGAGUUUUAUUUUCCCUUUAAUCCUUAUCAAAUAUCCAGAUAUUACCUAUAUUGCCUUGAUCUGCUGUCUGAGGGCUUUUUCGGGCCAGGAGAUGGUUUUGCAGCAGCAGAAGACUAUGAACUGGGCUUUGGGAGAUAGGAUCUCUGGUUGUAUUCUGGCUAUCCACACUCUGAAAGAGGACCGUGACAGAGAAUUUGAGUAUCCUACCAAUAUACCUACAAAAGGAUGAAAGAAGAUUUGGAGUCAAGGGAAAACAAGGGCAAUAAAAUAGAUGCUUACCACCUGCUCUCAUACAGUUGCUAGAAGAGGACUGCAUAUUUGGUUCUAAGUUUUUGGAAGAUAAAGCAAAAAUAGAAACACAACUCAUUAUAAAAUUUUGGUGUAUCCAUAAAAUAAAAACAAAUGACCUGUUUGA
This 1405-nucleotide non-coding RNA is filed under the name Pan troglodytes (chimpanzee). The record is from RNAcentral. Lineage: Eukaryota; Metazoa; Chordata; Mammalia; Primates; Hominidae.